This 200-nucleotide ribosomal RNA is filed under the name uncultured bacterium. RNAcentral's name for it is "partial 16S ribosomal RNA". It matches the Rfam family "Bacterial small subunit ribosomal RNA", at positions 28 to 227 of the family's 1533-position model. The record is from RNAcentral.
GAUGAACGCUAGCGGCAGGCCUAAUACAUGCAAGUCGAACGAGAUCCAGGAGCUUGCUCCUGGUGAAAGUGGCGCACGGGUGCGUAACGCGUAUGCAACCUACCUUAAUCAGGGGGAUAGCCUCUCGAAAGAGAGAUUAACACCGCAUAAAAUCACAAGCUGGCAUCAGCAAAUGAUCAAAUAUUUAUAGGAUUAAGAUG